UGCUGUGCCUGUUGUGCCUGUUGUGCCUGUUUCAAUGAAAGUGAUAAAGGUGAGGGUGGAGAACCCAAACGGUGUGGAUCUGAACGACCAAGCUUUUCUGGAUGCGAUGUUGGUGGAGGCGAAAAAGAACCUAAGGGCCCAGGGAUUGGACGACAACGUCCAACUGGCCUGGAGGAAGCAGCCGGAUGGAAAAGUCUUCCACGAGGAGGAGGAGAAGAAGAGGGAUGAGCUCUAAAGCUGAAUUGCUGUGUCGGCUUUUAUCAGAGAAAAGUGUAUUUCUUUCCUCAAAGUCCUCAUGUUACAGAAUUCAGCUGCAACAAUGAUCUGAAUAAUCUAUUAGUUACGAUCAUUUUGAUAGAAGAUAGAGAAUGUAAUGCUUUUCCUUGUUAUAUAUGGUUAUGAAUUUAAUAUGUUUAGGGUUUUCACUAUUGAAUGUGUUUGCUUGGCCGGUGGGAGAUAAUAAUACAAUGUUUGGCUUUUGUUGAAUUUUGAUCAAGAUUAAAUUAUCAAUAAAAAAAAUGACCUUUAAU
Molecule: long non-coding RNA, 530 nt
Organism: Trematomus bernacchii (emerald rockcod)
Lineage: Eukaryota; Metazoa; Chordata; Actinopteri; Perciformes; Nototheniidae
Exons: 2
Source: RefSeq, a predicted model, not a curated record